UACGUAGGGGGCAAGCGUUAUCCGGAUUUACUGGGUGUAAAGGGAGCGUAGACGGCGAUGCAAGCCAGAUGUGAAAGCCCGGGGCUCAACCCCGGGACUGCAUUUGGAACUGUAUAGCUAGUGUGUCGGAGAGGCAGGCGGAAUUCCUAGUGUAGCGGUGAAAUGCGUAGAUAUUAGGAGGAACACCAGUGGCGAAGGCGGCCUGCUGGACGAUGACUGACGUUGAGGCUCGAAAGCGUGGGGAGCAAACAGG
This 253-nucleotide ribosomal RNA is filed under the name uncultured bacterium. RNAcentral describes it as "partial 16S ribosomal RNA". It matches the Rfam family "Bacterial small subunit ribosomal RNA", at positions 524 to 776 of the family's 1533-position model. The record is from RNAcentral.